UACAGAGGGUGCGAGCGUUAAUCGGAAUUACUGGGCGUAAAGCGCGCGUAGGCGGCUUUGCAAGCCGGAUGUGAAAUCCCCGGGCUUAACCUGGGAACUGCAUUCGGGACUGCAUUGCUAGAGUAUGGGAGAGGGAAGUGGAAUUUCAGGUGUAGCGGUGAAAUGCGUAGAUAUCUGAAGGAACAUCAGUGGCGAAAGCGACUUCCUGGACCAAUACUGACGCUCAGGCACGAAAGCGUGGGGAGCAAACAGG
Molecule: ribosomal RNA, 253 nt
Filed under: uncultured bacterium
Lineage: Bacteria
Description: partial 16S ribosomal RNA
Rfam family: Bacterial small subunit ribosomal RNA
Source: RNAcentral